Molecule: ribosomal RNA, 532 nt
Filed under: unidentified oral bacterium AP60-34
Lineage: Bacteria
Description: bacterial SSU rRNA
Rfam family: Bacterial small subunit ribosomal RNA
Source: RNAcentral
AGAGUUUGAUCCUGGCUCAGGACGAACGCUGGCGGCGUGCCUAAUACAUGCAAGUCGAACGAGAGCGACCGGUGCUUGCACUGGUCAAUCUAGUGGCGAACGGGUGAGUAACACGUGGGUAACCUGCCCAUCAGAGGGGGAUAACAUUCGGAAACGGAUGCUAAAACCGCAUAGGUCUUCGAACCGCAUGGUUUGAAGAGGAAAAGAGGCGCAAGCUUCUGCUGAUGGAUGGACCCGCGGUGCAUUAGCUAGUUGGUGAGGUAACGGCUCACCAAGGCCGUGAUGCAUAGCCGACCUGAGAGGGUGAUCGGCCACAUUGGGACUGAGACACGGCCCAAACUCCUACGGGAGGCAGCAGUAGGGAAUCUUCCGCAAUGGACGCAAGUCUGACGGAGCAACGCCGCGUGAGUGAAGAAGGUUUUCGGAUCGUAAAACUCUGUUGUUAGAGAAGAACAAGUGCUAGAGUAACUGUUAGCACCUUGACGGUAUCUAACCAGAAAGCCACGGCUAACUACGUGCCAGCAGCCGCGGU